GCCAGGCGCGGUGGCUCACGCCUGUAAUCCCAGUACUUUGGGAGGCCGAGGUGGGUGGAUCACCUGAGGUCAGGAGUUCGAGACCAGCCUGACCAACAUGGAGAAACCCCAUCUCUA
Molecule: unclassified non-coding RNA, 117 nt
Organism: Pongo abelii (Sumatran orangutan)
Lineage: Eukaryota; Metazoa; Chordata; Mammalia; Primates; Hominidae
Rfam family: Metazoan signal recognition particle RNA
About the family: The signal recognition particle (SRP) is a universally conserved ribonucleoprotein.
Source: Ensembl